RNAcentral lists this long non-coding RNA (1598 nucleotides) under Manihot esculenta (cassava). Its description in RNAcentral is "long non-coding RNA (MESC_LNC007568)". Lineage: Eukaryota; Viridiplantae; Streptophyta; Magnoliopsida; Malpighiales; Euphorbiaceae. The record is from RNAcentral.
CACUCUUCACACUUCCCCACUUCCCGCACUUCGCACUUUGUCACACUUCACAUUUGUCACACACUUCACACUUCACACAUUUCACACACUUCACACUUUACACUUCACACAGCACACUUCACACAUUUCACACACUUCACACUUUACACUUCACACAGCACACACUUCACACUUCACACUUUUCACACACUUCACAACAAGCGCUGAACAAAAUACUUACAAAACACUUCAAAAACACUUCUCAAGGACUUAACAAACAAUAACACUUAAAUAAACACUUAAAAAUCACACUUCACUCUUUACACCAAAACACCCAAAGACACAAACACUUAACCACUUCACCCUUCAUACUACACACUUCACACUUUAAAAAAAAUACUUAAGCAUUUCAUACUUAAAUAAAUACUUUAACAUUUAACACCUGAACACAAACACACAAACACUUCACACUUAAACACUUAAUACCUUAACACAAACACUUUAACACCUAAAUACACAAACACACAAACACUUCCCAAGUAAAUAAACACUUCACAAACAAUUACACUUAACUAACAAUUAGAAAACACUUCACCAACAGUUAACAAACACUAACACUUAAAAAUUACACUUCACACUUGAAAAAAACACUUUAACACUUUAAUGCUUAAACACACACUUCACACUUCACACACACUUCACACUCUUCACACUUCCCCACUUCCCGCACUUCGCACUUUGUCACACUUUGUCACACUUCACAUUUGUCACACACUUCACACUUCACACAUUUCACACACCUCACACUUCACACAGCACACUUCACACUCCACACUCCACACUUUUCACACACUUCACAACAAGCGCUGAACAAAAUAUUUACAAAACACUUCAAAAACACUUCCAAGGACUUAACAAACAAUGACACUUAAAUAAACACUUAAAAAUCACACUUCACUCUUUACACCAAAACACCCAAACACACAAACACUUAAACACUUCAAAUCACUUCACCCUUCAUACUACACACUUCACACUUUAAAACAAAUACUUAAGUAUUUCAUACUUAAAUAAAUACUUUAACAUUUAACACCUCAAACAAACACACAAACACUUCACACUUAAACACUUAAUAGCUUAACACAAACACCUAACACAUAAAAACACAAACACACAAACACUUCACAAGUAAAUAAACACUUCACAAACAAUUACACUUAACUAACAAUUACAAAACACUUCACCAAUAGUUAACAAACACUAACACUUAAAAAUUACAGUUCACACUUGAAAAAAACAUUUUAACACUUUAAUGCUUAAACACACACUUUAACACUUAACACUUAAGCACACACUUUAGCACUUCACACUCAACACAUAAACACACACUUUAACACUAAACACUUCAACACCAUAACACCUAAAUACCUAAACACCCAAACACCUCAACACUAAUUGAUUUUAGAUGUACUAUUCCUAAAGAACUUACAUUUAUAUUAUAAUAUAGGAAAGAGACUUAUUCAAGUAUAUAAUUUCUAUGAAUAAAAUUAUAUUUCAAAAACAUGUUUAAAUGCAAAAUGAAAUUUAAAAAUUUUAAAAUUAUAAAAAAUCAUUAUCCU